Molecule: ribosomal RNA, 199 nt
Filed under: uncultured bacterium
Lineage: Bacteria
Description: partial 16S ribosomal RNA
Rfam family: Bacterial small subunit ribosomal RNA
Source: RNAcentral
ACGCUCGACACCUACGGGAGGUAGCAGUCGGGAAUAUUGCGCAAUGGAGGAAACUCUGACGCAGUGACGCCGCGUAUAGGAAGAAGGUUUUCGGAUUGUAAACUAUUGUCGUUAGGGAAGAUACAAGACAGUACCUAAGGAGGAAGCACCGGCUAACUAUGUGCCAGCAGCCGCGGUAAUCUGAGCGGGCUGGCAAGGC